AUACGUAGGGGGCGAGCGUUGUCCGGAAUGAUUGGGCGUAAAGGGCGCGUAGGCGGCUUUGCAAGUCAGUAGUGGAAGUCCAUUUUUCAAGGAUGGAAGUGCUACAGAAACUGCGGAGCUUGAGUGCAGGAGAGGUUAUCGGAAUUCCCGGUGUAGCGGUGAAAUGCGUAGAGAUCGGGAGGAACACCAGUGGCGAAGGCGGGUAACUGGACUGCAACUGACGCUGAGGCGCGAAAGUGUGGGGAGCAAACAGGAUUAGAUACCCUGGUAGUCCACACUGUAAACGAUGAAUGCUAGGUGUAGGAGGUAUCGACCCCUUCUGUGCCGCAGUAAACACAGUAAGCAUUCCGCCUGGGGAGUACGGUCGCAAGAUUAAAACUCAAAGGAAUUGACGG
This 395-nucleotide ribosomal RNA is filed under the name uncultured bacterium. RNAcentral describes it as "partial 16S ribosomal RNA". It matches the Rfam family "Bacterial small subunit ribosomal RNA", at positions 523 to 916 of the family's 1533-position model. The record is from RNAcentral.